AUGGACAUGUUUCUCAUGAUCCGGUGCCACAAGACCACCAUCUUUCUGGAUGCCAAGAAGUUGAGCACUGUGUUCGAAUUGAAGCACAUCGUCGAGGACAUCCUCAAGCGGCCGCCAGAGGAGCGGCUGCUUUACAAGGAUGACCAGCUCCUUGAUGAUGGCAAAACUCUGGGCGAGUGUGGCUUCACUAGCCAGACAGCACAGCCACAGUGGGCCUGGCCUUCCGAGAAGAUGACACCUUCGAAACUCUCCGCAUUGAGCCCUUCUCCAGCCCUCCCGAGCUUCCAGAUGUGAUGAAGCCACAGGAUUCUGGAGGCAGUGCCAAUGAACAAGCUGUGCAGUGA
This 344-nucleotide long non-coding RNA is filed under the name Mus musculus (house mouse). RNAcentral's name for it is "long non-coding RNA chr11:6242377-6242721". The record is from RNAcentral. Lineage: Eukaryota; Metazoa; Chordata; Mammalia; Rodentia; Muridae.